Molecule: non-coding RNA, 1866 nt
Organism: Camellia sinensis
Lineage: Eukaryota; Viridiplantae; Streptophyta; Magnoliopsida; Ericales; Theaceae
Source: RefSeq, a predicted model, not a curated record
AAUACAUAGUCUGUGACCACCAAACCUCACCCAAUCUCACCUCGACCUCGACCUCGACCUCGACCCCCUCGUACUCCAAUCACUACGCUACCCCAACACUCUCAAACCCUCCUAACAACUCUACAAUCAGAACUGCUUCCUUCAAACCCCACACGAUCCCAACUCCCACCUUUGCUUCUUCCUCGACAAUUACUACGACUUCGACCUCAAUUUCUUCUACCCUAAUGGUGCGAAACUUCAAGUUCUAGCCCCCCAAUCUUCCAAGCUGAAUCAACCGAAGAACAACUCGAAGCUCUCUUCGAUUACCACCGUGUUCAACCCUUUGAUGUUGUCUGCCUCGACGGGUUCACAUGGCUUCAUGACAUCACAUAAAUGGCGUGACACAAUUGGAGCUUUUAUAAAUGUUGACACAUCUGGGACAGGAGGCCUAGGAAUCUAUACAUAAAGAGAAUUCUUCCAUGCAUGAAAGAUUUCAAUUGUCCAAGAUAUUUUAAUGUUUGAUUCACUCCAUGGAAGCACCUGUUUGCAUUAUGCUGCUUUCUAUGGCCAUCUAGAUUGCCUACAAGCUAUUCUUUCUGCUGCCCUUUCCACCUCUGUUGCACAUUCCUGGGGAUUUGCAAGGGUUGUGAAUAUAAGAGAUAAAAAUGGAGCAACCCCAUUGCACUCGGCAGCCUGACAAGGAUGGCCGGAGUGUGUUCAUAUGUUGUUAGAUAGUGGGGCUCUUGUUUGUGCAUCUACUAGGGGAUAUGGGUAAAACUCUCUUAUUGAAGGUUUUCUAGUAUAAUGCAAUAGCACUGUUAAUUUGUCAUUAAUAUUUAUAAGAGUCCUGCUGCUGUGUGUUCUCUUGUGUGUUCAUAUGUAGUUUGAAGCUUUUUCUUCUAAGGGCAAAUGCUGCUGUGUUAACUUCUCCAGCCACAGAACAAGUAAAGAAUGUUGUGAUGUCAAUUUGUUUUCUUGUUUAACAAUUUAUUUUUUAAAGAGCUGCCCUUGAAAUUUGUUCGUAUUUGCAUUUUCUACUAUAUUUAUCAGCGAGGUUAGAAUUUCAAGAUGCCUUAACUGUGAAUUAUAUGAGCAUUUGCACUGUUUUAUCAAUAUGUGUUUGGAGAUGAUGUAUAAAAUAAGUUAUUAACUGGAAGAAUCUAUGAUAAUCAUUACUAAUGAUUUUGCUUGCCUUAGUCAUUGUUGGGGCAUGAAUCGACAUCUAGAGUCCUUUUUAGUUCUUCUCUGUAUUCUCUUACUUAGAGAAAAAAAAAUAAUCUUCUCUAUAUUUGGCCAUAUGUCUCAAAGAGUCAAAGACCAAUUGUAAAUAGUAUAAAUGGAUUAGUUGCAGAUCUGAUUCAUGAAGAUUUUGAUUUUUCAUUUAUGAAUUUAAACUCGUCGUGCUUCUCUUAGGGUGUACCGUAUAAAGAAUGGUUUGGAAUCGCUACAGCUUUCAUUUUAAUUACUAGAUUCCUGGUAAGUAAUAACCAUAAUUGGCGAUUUCCUUUUUGUUGUUGUAUUUAUUUAUUUAUUUAUUUUUUCACAUAAAAAUAAAAAUAACCAAGAUCAAACAUAGGUGGUGGUCUAUACAAUUUCUUUGUCUACCACAAUUCUAGUGUAUACUUACUUUGUGAUUCUGUGAUUUGGGUAGAAGGUAAAGAGAAAACAAGAAAAUAUCUAUUUUAUUGAUUUUCUGAAUGAAUGAACAUUAUAUAGAGAAGAUAGUAUAUAUACAAGAGUGAUCUACUUAACCUAACCAUAACCCGUCUAACUAAACUAUAGUUAAACUCUAACAAACUAACUACCUAGCCUUGAUAAUACUUACGUGACUAUUGGAGCUAUUGCUCUAACGCUGCUGAGCUGUUGUGGCUGUUGCUUUGCUUUGGA